This is a non-coding RNA of Anopheles quadriannulatus, 46 nucleotides long. Lineage: Eukaryota; Metazoa; Arthropoda; Insecta; Diptera; Culicidae. The record is from Rfam.
UAAAUGGAUUUAUUAAAAACCACACCCAUUAAACAACAAAUGUAAU